Parelaphostrongylus tenuis is the source of this 73-nucleotide non-coding RNA. The record is from the annotation of a GenBank genome assembly. Lineage: Eukaryota; Metazoa; Nematoda; Chromadorea; Rhabditida; Metastrongylidae.
GCGUCGGUAGUGCAAUUAGUGAGCACUCGCCCUCAGAAAGGAUUAAUCACGGGUUCGAUUCCCGUCUGAUGUA